Molecule: long non-coding RNA, 374 nt
Organism: Oryzias melastigma (Indian medaka)
Lineage: Eukaryota; Metazoa; Chordata; Actinopteri; Beloniformes; Adrianichthyidae
Exons: 2
Source: RefSeq, a predicted model, not a curated record
AUUAAAUUAUUGCAAAUUUUCAAAAGCUACAUUUGAUAAAUGAAUGGCUUGAUGGGCACAAAAAUAUGAAUAAAUUGUAUUUUUCUGUUCGGUAUGGUGGGAUUUGUGGCUCCGGUUGAGUUUGAUCUGUAAAAAACUGGACCAAAAGGUUCAGGACACCUGUCUGUGCUAGAACAUCUAUAAGGAGUUCAAAUCCCUCAGAUUUUCAGAGGGUGAGCUGCAGCAUACAUGUAGAGCAUGCACAUGCGUGACAAACAAAUUCAGAAACCCUGUAGUCACAGUGCAGAUCUUUACUUCAUAAUGUCUGCUGUCUGUGGAGGAGGGGGGGCAGCUGAUGCAUGGAUGAAUCACACUGAUGCUGAGGUAAAAAAAAA